GACGAACGCUGGCGGCGUGCCUAAUACAUGCAAGUUGAGCGAUGAAGAUUGGUGCUUGCACCAAUUUGAAGAGCAGCGAACGGGUGAGUAACGCGUGGGGAAUCUGCUUUUGAGCGGGGGACAACAUUUGGAAACGAAUGCUAAUACCGCAUAACAACUUUAAACAUAAGAUUUAAGUUUGAAAGAUGCAAUUGCAUCACUCAAAGAUGAUCCCGCGUUGUAUUAGCUAGUUGGUGAGGUAAAGGCUCACCAAGGCGAUGAUACAUAGCCGACCUGAGAGGGUGAUCGGCCACAAUGGGACUGAGACACGGCCCAAACUCCUACGGGAGGCAGCAGUAGGGAAUCAUCGGCAAUGGACGAAAGUCUGACCGAGCAACGCCGCGUGAGUGAAGAAGGUUUUCGGAGCGUAAAACUCUGUUGGUAGGGAAGAAAGUUGGUGAGGGUGGAAAGCUCAUCAAGUGACGGUAACUAACCAGAAAGGGACGGCUAACUACGUG
RNAcentral lists this ribosomal RNA (497 nucleotides) under uncultured bacterium. RNAcentral describes it as "partial 16S ribosomal RNA". It matches the Rfam family "Bacterial small subunit ribosomal RNA", at positions 28 to 507 of the family's 1533-position model. The record is from RNAcentral.